Long non-coding RNA from Oncorhynchus keta (chum salmon), 2196 nucleotides. RefSeq lists it as uncharacterized. The record is from RefSeq and is a predicted model, not a curated record. The transcript has 3 exons. NCBI's taxonomy places the organism in Eukaryota, Metazoa, Chordata, Actinopteri, Salmoniformes, Salmonidae.
UGGAGGGAAAAAGAGAGGGCUUGUGUCGGAUAAAAAUUGUGGGAAAGGGGAGAUGGUUUGUUAAAUAAGAAUGGUAGAAAGUGUAAGUAGAGGGAGCUGACGACAGGAGGUGAAAUGGAAGUGAAUAAGUGUGAAGUAUCCUAUGUGGUAGGUUCGGUGAAGUUAUUAUAUACCGAGGUAUGCACCGAGGAUCAGGAUAAAGAAGAGUGACAGUAGGAGUGAAUUUUAUGGAAAAAAUCGUACUCUUCCCUUUUUGCUGAUCCAUUUGUGGUUUCACGGUGGGUGAAAAAAAGAGUUGCGUGAUGGUAACUAGAAGUGGUCUAGUGAUAACUGUUUGUGUUUUUGUGAGGCAGAGGGAGAAUACGCUUGGAGUAAAACUAACGAGGGCAAGAAAAGUUAAUUGUUUCGUUCUCAAGAAAAGAGCACAAAUGAAAGGAGCGAUAACAGGGGUAGUGUUAACAGUACAACUUUACGUCCGUCCCCUCGCCCAUACCCGGGCGCGAACCAGGGACCUUCUGCACACAACGACAACAGUCACCCUCGAAGCAUCGCUCCACAAAAGCCGCGGCUCUUGCAGAGCAAGGGGAACUACUACUUCAAGGUCUCAGAGCAAGUGACGUAACCGAUUGAAACGCUAUUUAGCGCACACCGCUAACUAAGCUCGCCGUUUCACAUCCGUUACAGUAGCAGUAAAUAUAAAAGUUGACAAGCUGAGGGGAAAGAUUCCCGGUGUAUGUGAUGAUCGUCGUUUGAUGCGACGCAAACAGGGUGGGGAAACGGAAGUCGUUGUCUGUUUUUUUGAAGUUGAGUCUUUGCCCGAUAAAGUUUGGAUAUAUAAGUAAUCCUGUACGAGCGACGUGCCGAAUACAUUACGACGUUACAGGUGUCAAGCUUAUGGUCUAGUAGGUGGCGGUAAUGAAACAAAUUGGAUGUCAACCGCUGUUAAACCUCAGAAGAAGUUAACAACAAUAUGUCUGGACCAAAUGGAGAUCCUAACAUCUCAACUGAUGAUGGCAUCACCGACAAUGAAGAUGAAUUCAGAGUAUGUAGCCAUCAACACUGCUGGAUCAGAUCAACUCCUGCCUGGAUGACCUGGAGGAACGCAACGACUCACUGAAUGACCAACUACAUGAACUGUUGGAAUCUAACUGGCAGGAGUUCAGCUGAGCACCGCUACACCCCCAGGAGAGGAUCAACAGUCCCCGGACAAGGAUUCUCCAGCCUCUGAAGGGGAGAAGGGCGACGAGGAAAAAGCUGGUCUACUCAAUGUUACGCAAAACAACAUUCCACCUACCAAUAUGAGCAUCUUUCCUUUUCUCAAGUGUUCAUGUGGUAACACUUAAGAGUGAUAGGAUUUUCUCUGUCCCUUUCAUGUAGCACUUAUGAACCCUCCACUAAACUAUAUAGUUUUAAUCGAUACACAGCUGUUGAACUUUUAAGAUGGUUCCUGCUUAGUUAAGUAAAAUAGCCAAAAGCUGAGUACAUUCUGUGUUGAAGUGACUAGUUUAUGCCACCAUCACCACUUACUAUGUAUACCAAUGUUUCAGCUUAGCUAUCCGUAUAAGUCCUCAAUUGCCCCCAUGAUUAGUACUUAUUUAUCCAUGUGCUUGGUGUGGGGUGUAAAGCAUGCAGAAUACACUGUGAUUCAUGUCAUAACUGGGGUGUAUUCAUUUUGCCGAAUUGGUUUGUUCCAAAACGUUUUGCAACAAAAACAAGUUUCUAUUGCACAAAUUCAGGUAGGUCCCUUCCUGUUUCAUUUGCUAUGUUUGGCUCUAAGAUGGUAAACAGUUUCUGUUGUAAGAUGUAAUGAACACACUGGUGGUAGGUAAGCAGCUAAGUUAACCUCUAUGGGCUAAUACUACAAAUCAUGUGAGCUUUGAUUGGUCAAUAUUGUUCUGUGACAUGCAACAGAUGAAUGUGUUUCAGUUUUUCCUUGUCAGAUUUAAAAACAGUAUAUUGAAUGUGUUACUGUUAAUUAUCUGAGUGUGACAUCUUGAAUCACUAACGUCAAGAACUAGCUCUUUAAAACAAUGCGAUAUUCAAUAAUCACAGUGAGGCAAUUGUCAAAUUUUAUUAUAAAUUAAAAUGACCCCAAUACAGAAAACAUCCCAAAAAUACAUGAAACUUCCAGCUGCUAGAAAACACUCUUGUUCAUCGGUUUGUCAUUUGUAGAAUAAAAAUACAUUAAGAAACAUA